This 300-nucleotide ribosomal RNA is filed under the name uncultured Hyphomicrobiales bacterium. Its description in RNAcentral is "bacterial SSU rRNA". It matches the Rfam family "Bacterial small subunit ribosomal RNA", at positions 202 to 523 of the family's 1533-position model. The record is from RNAcentral. Lineage: Bacteria; Pseudomonadati; Pseudomonadota; Alphaproteobacteria; Hyphomicrobiales.
GAAAGUUUCGGCGGUUGGGGAUGGACUCGCGGCUUAUCAGCUUGUUGGUGGGGUAAAGGCCUACCAAGGCGACGAUCCAUAGCUGGUCUGAGAGGAGGAUCAGCCACAUUGGGACUGAGACACGGCCCAAACUCCUACGGAGGCAGCAGUGGGGAAUAUUGGACAAUGGGCGCAAGCCUGAUCCAGCCAUGCCGCGUGAGUGAUGAAGGCCCUAGGGUUGUAAAGCUCUUUCACCGGAGAAGAUAAUGACGGUAUCCGGAGAAGAAGCCCCGGCUAACUUCGUGCCAGCCGCCGCGGUAA